This 253-nucleotide ribosomal RNA is filed under the name uncultured bacterium. RNAcentral's name for it is "partial 16S ribosomal RNA". It matches the Rfam family "Bacterial small subunit ribosomal RNA", at positions 524 to 776 of the family's 1533-position model. The record is from RNAcentral.
GACGUAGGGCGCGAGCGUUGUCCGGAUUUAUUGGGCGUAAAGAGCUCGUAGGCGGCUUGUCGCGUCGUCUGUGAAAUCCCACGGCUCAACUGUGGGCUUGCAGUCGAUACGGGCAGGCUGGAGUUCGGAAGAGGAGUGUGGAAUUCCUGGUGUAGCGGUGAAAUGCGCAGAUAUCAGGAGGAACACCAAUGGCGAAGGCAGCACUCUGGGACGUGACUGACGCUGAGACGCGAAAGCGUGGGGAGCAAACAGG